RNAcentral lists this transfer RNA (72 nucleotides) under Candidatus Zhuqueibacterota bacterium. Its description in RNAcentral is "candidate division KSB1 bacterium (microbial mat metagenome) tRNA-Ile". It matches the Rfam family "tRNA". Rfam says of the family: Transfer RNA (tRNA) molecules are approximately 80 nucleotides in length. Lineage: Bacteria; Pseudomonadati. The record is from RNAcentral.
GGGCUCGUAGCUCAAUGGUAGAGCAACGGACUCAUAAUCCGCAGGCUGUAGGUUCGAAUCCUACCGGGCCCA